GACGAACGCUGGCGGCGUGCUUAACACAUGCAAGUCGAACGGAAAGGCCCUGCUUUUGUGGGGUGCUCGAGUGGCGAACGGGUGAGUAACACGUGAGUAACCUGCCCUUGACUUUGGGAUAACUUCAGGAAACUGGGGCUAAUACCGGAUAGGAGCUCCUGCUGCAUGGUGGGGGUUGGAAAGUUUCGGCGGUUGGGGAUGGACUCGCGGCUUAUCAGCUUGUUGGUGGGGUGGUGGCUUACCAAGGCUUUGACGGGUAGCCGGCCUGAGGGGGUGACCGGCCACAUUGGGACUGAGAUACGGCCCAGACUCCUACGGGAGGCAGCAGUGGGGAAUAUUGCACAAUGGGCGGAAGCCUGAUGCAGCAACGCCGCGUGCGGGAUGACGGCCUUCGGGUUGUAAACCGCUUUCGCCUGUGACGAAGCGUGAGUGACGGUAAUGGGUAAAGAAGCACCGGCUAACUACGUG
RNAcentral lists this ribosomal RNA (468 nucleotides) under uncultured bacterium. Its description in RNAcentral is "partial 16S ribosomal RNA". It matches the Rfam family "Bacterial small subunit ribosomal RNA", at positions 28 to 507 of the family's 1533-position model. The record is from RNAcentral.